UUUUAGUUUCUUGUUAUUGUCCAUCUCCUCAGAUUGUGUAAAUUCUUUGUUAUAACUAUAUGGGUUCUUACUUUAAAGUAUGUGUGCAAUUGAUAGCCCAGUGGCCAUGGGAAUUCAAAUUGCAUCUCCUAGUGUGUUGUCUAUAGUAUGUUUAAUGAUGUCAAAAGGGGAAAAUGCAUACUUUUGUGAUAUUUGCAAUCCAAUUUGUCUAACAUGAUCCUCUAAUUUGUUGCUUUGAUUGGUGUGCUUUGAGAAAUUGACAUGUCGCAGGUUGAAGUUAUUCACACAAGAAGCCAUGGUUUGUCAUCAUCAAAAAGAGGGAAAUUGUUUGAUCGAGUAAGAUUUUGAUGAUUGAAAAAUAUGGGAGGAGAUGCAGGGUACUGGUUACUGAAACGUGUUCCACUCAAAUAGAGUCAAAUUGGGAUUAAGAGAAAAUUUAUCACAUGAAGAAAAAGGAUUAUAGUGGAAGUUUACAAAUAAAGGGAAGUUGUAUAAGGAAGGAUACCUACUCCCAACUCAAAGAAAGAGGAGUCUUGCAUCUAUUAAGGGUUUCACAAAGAAAUUUGCACACUUACAGGGAGAGCUACGAGAAGAAUACAAUAAAAUAAGAGAGAGUUUAGAGUUCAGAUUAAAGAUUCAAUUUCAUUG
This 648-nucleotide long non-coding RNA is filed under the name Solanum tuberosum (potato). Its description in RNAcentral is "long non-coding RNA (STUB_LNC008800)". Lineage: Eukaryota; Viridiplantae; Streptophyta; Magnoliopsida; Solanales; Solanaceae. The record is from RNAcentral.